Molecule: ribosomal RNA, 492 nt
Filed under: uncultured bacterium
Lineage: Bacteria
Description: partial 16S ribosomal RNA
Rfam family: Bacterial small subunit ribosomal RNA
Source: RNAcentral
AGUGAACGCUGGCGGUAGGCCUAACACAUGCAAGUCGAACGGCAGCACAGUAAGAGCUUGCUCUUACGGGUGGCGAGUGGCGGACGGGUGAGGAAUACAUCGGAAUCUACUUUUUCGUGGGGGAUAACGUAGGGAAACUUACGCUAAUACCGCAUACGACCUACGGGUGAAAGCAGGGGAUCUUCGGACCUUGCGCGAUUGAAUGAGCCGAUGUCGGAUUAGCUAGUUGGCGGGGUAAAGGCCCACCAAGGCGACGAUCCGUAGCUGGUCUGAGAGGAUGAUCAGCCAAACUGGAACUGAGACCAGGGCCAGACUCCUAAGGGAGGGAGCAGGGGGGAAUAUUGGACAAUGGGGGCAAGCCUGAUCCAGGCAUACCGCGUGGGUGAAGAAGGCCUUCGGGUUGUAAAGCCCUUUUGUUGGGAAAGAAAAGCAGCAGGUUAAUACCCCGCUGUUCUGACGGUACCCAAAGAAUAAGCACCGGCUAACUUCGUG